UCGGUUGGUGGCCAAUCGACGAAAGAAUGUGCAGGUUGAGGAUCAAGGGUCGAUUCUUCAACUUCAGCAUAAUAAACGUGCACAGCCCACACUCCGGAAGUACUGAUGAUGCAUACGCGCAGAAUCUCGAGGCCGCGUUGCCAGACGAGGGCGAGUUCGAUGAGGCCCCUCUAGAGGACUACACUGGAGUACAGUGAAAACGCCAUCAAUGACGCAGCCGAGAGCACCAUCGGGUACAUGGAACGGAAUCGACGGAACGAAUGGUUCGACGAGGAGUGCAGAACGGUUUCAAAGGGAAAGAACGCAGCGAGGGCGGUAAUGCUGCCGCAAGGGACCCGACAGAACGUGAAACGUUACAAACAAAAGUGUGAACAGCAGACUCGCCUGCGGAGUGCGAAGAAAUGGAACUGCUGCGUCGUUCCCAAGAAACACGGAAGUUCUACCAGAAGCUCAACGCAUCCCGCAACAGCUUCGUGCCGCGAGCUAAAAUGUGCAGGGAUAAGGACGGAGGACUCUUGACGGACGGACGUGAAGUAAUCGAAAGGUUGAAGCAGCACUUCGAUCAGCACCUGGAUGACGUGGAGAACGUAGGCACUGACUGCGGCAACGGAGGAAACGACGAUGCCAGUGCAGCGGACGAAGGAAAUGAACCAACUCCCACGUUGUGAGAAGUUAAGGAUGCCAUUCAUUCAUCAGCUCAAUACCAACAAAGCAGCUGGUAAGGAUGGUAUCGCAGCUAAACUCGUCAAGAUGGGCCCAGAAAAGUUGGCCACCUGUCUGCACCGUCUUAUAGUCAGGAUCCAGGAAACCGUACAGCUAAGGGAGGAGUGCAAGGAAGGGGUAACCUGCCCCAUUCACAAGAAAGGCGACCAUUUGGAAUGUGAGAACUUCAGAGCGAUCACUAUUUUGAAUGCUGCCUGUGGUACCUUGUGGUAUGCACAUAAUAAAUUAUUGUAUUACUCUAUUACGUUUAGCGUGUAUGUUUACAUCGAGUAUCUGUCAUAUGUGGAGAUGUUGUUAUUGUUGUCUGGAGUGUGAAUCAUUGUAUGUAAUAUUGAAGUAUCGGUAAUAAAGUGUAUACAAAUAAUGAAUACAGUUGUUGAAUAAUCAUUACAGAGAAAGAUUCUCACAUUGGCGACGAGAACGGUGAACAGCGCAUGUGAAAUUAGUUUAAUUUCGGUUCGGGAAGUUUUGUCUUUGGGGAAAGAAAGAGAUGAGUGGUGUGUGUGUGUGUGGUGCAUGCAGGGUGGUGAUGACUUGUGAUUGAAUUUCAACAUUGGAAUCAAAAAGGUACAACCAUAAGUAACGGCCAAGUAAUUUACCAAAAUGCCGAGCAGAGAUGGAUGACCAAAUGGAUGACUGUACUACUAAUUCUGAUGUGAGACUGAAGCGAGACGUUCAUAAACUGAGGAGACUAUAAGCGAAAACAACGUGGAGUGACCUUGCUGCGAAUCUGGAGAAAAAAACGAGAUGUGGUACCUUGUGGUAUGCACAUAAUAAAUUAUUGUAUUACUCUAUUACGUUUAGCGUGUAUGUUUACAUCGAGUAUCUGUCAUAUGUGGAGAUGUUGUUAUUGUUGUCUGGAGUGUGAAUCAUUGUAUGUAAUAUUGAAGUAUCGGUAAUAAAGUGUAUACAAAUAAUGAA
This is a long non-coding RNA of Aedes albopictus (Asian tiger mosquito), 1644 nucleotides long. RefSeq lists it as uncharacterized. The record is from RefSeq and is a predicted model, not a curated record. Lineage: Eukaryota; Metazoa; Arthropoda; Insecta; Diptera; Culicidae. The transcript is spliced from 2 exons.